This 675-nucleotide long non-coding RNA is filed under the name Spirodela polyrhiza (greater duckweed). RNAcentral describes it as "long non-coding RNA (SPOL_LNC000209)". The record is from RNAcentral. Lineage: Eukaryota; Viridiplantae; Streptophyta; Magnoliopsida; Alismatales; Araceae.
GUAGACGAGGGCGUUGGUUUUUGGCGUCGCUCACGGUCAUGGUUGUAAACUAUCUUUCAGAAAUGUGCUGUACAUUUUUUGCUGCAAGUCGAGUCUGGUUUGCUCCAUCUUUCCACUCCUUCCUAGAAGUUUUCCCAUCUGGCCAAGUUCCCUCUGAUUCGCGCCACCGGCCAGUUAUCCAGUGUAGAGAGGAGGGCUGUGGCCUCGCGAAGAACUCAGGCGAACGUGGAUGUUCGUGAAGAGAAAAGUCAAGACAUCUAAAUGAAAUCAAGAUCGUAAUGGUUGGCCGUUACGAUCUUGAUUUCCUUUAGAUGGGCUGUUAACUUUUCUCUUCAGCCCGUACCUCAAAACUCGCUCAUAGACGAAAUGCCUGUGGUGGCCGCCAUAACCCAUGAAAUCAUAGAAAAAUAUUAGUCACAGGUUGGGUCCAAUGAAGCACCCCCACGGAUUUCCAAGAAGUUUUUCAGGGGCUCACGUUUGUUAGCCUGCCUACUCUGCAGGUGGGGUGUCGUUUUGCAGGCCCUCAAGCAUUCAUAUCAAAACGGCAUAAGCUCUGUUGUACAGCCGCUAAACGAUUUUUCAUUUUUUUUUCGUUGCCAAUAGAAGCAAUGAAGAUUUUUGGCUAUUGUCACAUCAAUUAAAUGAUUAAGAAAGCAAGCGUUGGAUGCAGGACGC